GAGCACGUAGGUGGGUUUGUAAGUCAGAUGUGAAAGCCUUCUGUUCAACGGAAGAAUUGCAUCUGAAACUGCCAAUCUUGAGUGUAGGAGGGGAGAAUGGAACUUCUGGUGGAGCGGUGAAAUGCGUAGAUAUCAGAAGGAACGCCGGCGGCGAAAGCGAUUCUCUGGCCUAUUACUGACACUCAGUGUGCGAAAGCUAGGGGAGCAAACGGGAUUAGAUACCCCGGUAGUCCUAGCCGUAAACGAUGGGCACUAAGUAGAGGGGUUUU
RNAcentral lists this ribosomal RNA (269 nucleotides) under uncultured bacterium. RNAcentral describes it as "partial 16S ribosomal RNA". It matches the Rfam family "Bacterial small subunit ribosomal RNA", at positions 565 to 832 of the family's 1533-position model. The record is from RNAcentral.